CGAAACCAGGCGAUCUAUCCAUGAGCAGGUUGAAGGUUGGGUAACACUAACUGGAGGACCGAACCCACUGUCGUUGAAAAGCCAGGGGAUGACUUGUGGAUAGGGGUGAAAGGCUAAUCAAGCCUGGUGAUAGCUGGUUCUCCCCGAAAGCUAUUUAGGUAGCGCCUCGGACGAAUACCAUAGGGGGUAGAGCACUGUUUCGGCUAGGGGGUCAUCCCGACUUACCAAACCGAUGCAAACUCCGAAUACCUAUGAGUACUAUCCGGGAGACAGACUGCGGGUGCUAACGUCCGUAGUCAAGAGGAAAACAAUCCAGACCGCCAGCUAAGGCCCCAAAAUCAUAGUUAAGUGGGAAACGAUGUGGGAAGGCAUAGACAGCUAGGAGGUUGGCUUAGAAGCAGCCACCCUUUAAAGAAAGCGUAAUAGCUCACUAGUCGAGUCGGCCUGCGCGGAAGAUGUAACGGGGCUAAAACUAUGUGCCGAAGCUGCGGAUUUGACAUUAGUCAAGUGGUAGGGGAGCGUUCUGUAAGCCGAUGAAGGUGUAUUGAGAAGUAUGCUGGAGGUAUCAGAAGUGCGAAUGCUGACGUGAGUAACGACAAAACGGGUGAAAAACCCGUUCGCCGAAAGACCAAGGGUUCCAGUCCAACGUUAAUCGGGGCUGGGUGAGUCGACCCCUAAGGC
RNAcentral lists this ribosomal RNA (681 nucleotides) under Acinetobacter pittii. RNAcentral's name for it is "bacterial LSU rRNA". It matches the Rfam family "Bacterial large subunit ribosomal RNA", at positions 716 to 1397 of the family's 2925-position model. Lineage: Bacteria; Pseudomonadati; Pseudomonadota; Gammaproteobacteria; Moraxellales; Moraxellaceae. The record is from RNAcentral.